AGUGAACGCUGGCGGUAGGCCUAACACAUGCAAGUCGAACGGCAGCACAGUAAGAGCUUGCUCUUACGGGUGGCGAGUGGCGGACGGGUGAGGAAUACAUCGGAAUCUACUUUUUCGUGGGGGAUAACGUAGGGAAACUUACGCUAAUACCGCAUACGACCUACGGGUGAAAGCAGGGGAUCUUCGGACCUUGCGCGAUUGAAUGAGCCGAUGCCGGAUUAGCUAGUUGGCGGGGUAAAGGCCCACCAAGGCGACGAUCCGUAGCUGGUCUGAGAGGAGGAUCAGCGACACUGGAAGUGGGACACGGGCCAGACUCCGACGGGAGGCAGCAGUGGGGAAUAUUGGACAAUGGGCGCAAGCCUGAUCCAGCCAUACCGCGUGGGUGAAGAAGGCCUUCGGGUUGGAAAGCCCUUUUGUUGGGAAAGAAAAGCAGCAGGUUAAUACCCCGCUGUUCUGACGGUACCCAAAGAAUAAGCACCGGCUAACUUCGUG
Molecule: ribosomal RNA, 492 nt
Filed under: uncultured bacterium
Lineage: Bacteria
Description: partial 16S ribosomal RNA
Rfam family: Bacterial small subunit ribosomal RNA
Source: RNAcentral